RNAcentral lists this ribosomal RNA (253 nucleotides) under uncultured bacterium. RNAcentral's name for it is "partial 16S ribosomal RNA". It matches the Rfam family "Bacterial small subunit ribosomal RNA", at positions 524 to 776 of the family's 1533-position model. The record is from RNAcentral.
UACGUAGGGGGCAAGCGUUGUCCGGAUUUAUUGGGCGUAAAGCGCGCGUAGGCGGCCAGGUAGGUCCGUUGUGAAAACUGGAGGCUUAACCUCCAGCUGUCGAUGGAAACCAUCUGGCUAGAGUCCGGAAGAGGAGAGUGGAAUUCCUGGUGUAGCGGUGAAAUGCGCAGAUAUCAGGAGGAACACCGGUGGCGAAGGCAGUUCUCUGGGCAUUUCCUGACGCUGAGGAGCGAAAGUGUGGGGAGCGAACAGG